GAUGAACGCUGGCGGCGUGCCUAAUACAUGCUAGUCGAGCGAACAGACGAGGAGCUUGCUCCUCUGACGUUAGCGGCUGACGGGUGAGUAACACGUGGAUAACCUACCUAUAAGACUGGGAUAACUUCGGGAAACCGGAGCUAAUACCGGAUAAUAUAUUGAACCGCAUGGUUCAAUAGUGAAAGACGGUUUUGCUGUCACUUAUAGAUGGAUCCGCGCCGCAUUAGCUAGUUGGUAAGGUAACGGCUUACCAAGGCGACGAUGCGUAGCCGACCUGAGAGGGUGAUCGGCCACACUGGAACUGAGACACGGUCCAGACUCCUACGGGAGGAAGCAGUAGGGAAUCUUCCGCAAUGGGCGAAAGCUUGACGGAGCAACGCCGCGUGAGUGAUGAAGGUCUUCGGAUCGUAAAACUCUGUUAUUAGGGAAGAACAAAUGUGUAAGUAACUAUGCACGUCUUGACGGUACCUAAUCAGAAAGCCACGGCUAACUACGUG
RNAcentral lists this ribosomal RNA (497 nucleotides) under uncultured bacterium. Its description in RNAcentral is "partial 16S ribosomal RNA". It matches the Rfam family "Bacterial small subunit ribosomal RNA", at positions 28 to 507 of the family's 1533-position model. The record is from RNAcentral.